CCUACGGGUGGCAGCAGUGAGGAAUAUUGGUCAAUGGACGAGAGUCUGAACCAGCCAAGUCGCGUGAAGGAUGAAUGCCCUAUGGGUUGUAAACCUCUUUUAUAGGGGAAUAAAGUGUUCCACGUGUGGGAUUUUGUAUGUACCCGCUGAAUAAGGAUCGGCUAACUCCGUGCCAGCAGCCGCGGUAAUACGGAGGAUGCGAGCGUUAUCCGGAUUUGUGGGGUUUAAAGGGAGCGUAGGUGGAUGGUUAAGUCAGUUGUGAAAGUUUGCGGCUCAACCGGAAAAUGGCCGUUGAAACUGGCAGUCUUGAGUGAGGUAGAGGUGGGCGGAAUGCGUGGUGUAGCGGUGAAAUGCAUAGAGAUCACGAAGAACUCCGAUUGCGAAGGCAGCUUACUG
RNAcentral lists this ribosomal RNA (396 nucleotides) under uncultured bacterium. RNAcentral's name for it is "partial 16S ribosomal RNA". It matches the Rfam family "Bacterial small subunit ribosomal RNA", at positions 338 to 731 of the family's 1533-position model. The record is from RNAcentral.